UUGAGUUUGGAGGAUGGAAAACAGAAACUAGAGCCAUUUAGUUUAGACAUGACUUAGUUUUCAUAACACAAUACUCAUAACUCAUAAUUCUAACUCAAAUCUCAUGACUCAUAACCCAAGCCGCACUAUCACUCAAAAAUUCCAAAAUUGUUGUUUAGUUACAAAACUCAAUCACAUAUUAACUUUUAAGAUUACUUUUAGCAAAAAAUUUUAUUGUUUUCAAAAGUUGAAAACUGAAGGGUUGUUUGGUUUUGUAAUUUUCCAUCCUUCGUAAUUCUGUUUUUAUCACUCAUACCUCAAAAUUAGUGGAUCCCAUAGUUUAAUAGUGUGUUUAGAUGCGUUUUUCAGUUUUUGUUUUCAUCAUUCAAAUAUCUGAUUUUAAAACAAUUGGUUAUGAAAAUUGAAAAUAAAUUUGAGGUGUUUUCAAAAAGUCAUCAAAACUGAAUUUUCAUGGCUUUAUGGUAAAUAAACACACAUACAUAGGUCCCACGGUCAGAGAAAAGUCACGCGGGCGCUGCUUUCGACAAAUCUCUUCAACGGCUCUCUUCACAUAAAGCAGAUCACACUUCCUUAGAAGCCUCUGCCUGCCCUCACCCAUUCACGCACGCAGUCACCGAUCUCCUGCUCAGGCAACCCGCGCCGCUGGGUCACGAUCACGCCGUUCUUCACGCGCCAAAGGCACCGAUCUCCCCCCCCUCCACCUCUUUCUUCAGUUUUUUCACAGAAAUCGGAAGAUUGAGAUUAUCAAUGACGAUGAUGAUGAUCAAUGCUGGUAUAUUUGAUGUUUUCUAUUUGGUGCCAAAUGGAGUCUUUGAACCUUGUAUGCUUUGAGAUGUUCAGUUGAUCAUUUAUGUGUAUUUGGCUUUCCAUUGAA
Quercus lobata is the source of this 874-nucleotide long non-coding RNA. RefSeq lists it as uncharacterized. NCBI's taxonomy places the organism in Eukaryota, Viridiplantae, Streptophyta, Magnoliopsida, Fagales, Fagaceae. The record is from RefSeq and is a predicted model, not a curated record. The transcript is spliced from 2 exons.